This 147-nucleotide non-coding RNA is filed under the name Chlorocebus sabaeus (green monkey). Lineage: Eukaryota; Metazoa; Chordata; Mammalia; Primates; Cercopithecidae. The record is from Rfam by way of RNAcentral.
GCCAGGCAUAGUGGCGUAUGCCUGUAAUCCCAGCUACUCGGGAGGCUGAGGCAUGAGAAUUGCUUGAACCCAGGAGGUAGAGGUUGCAGUGGACGAGACUGCACCACUGCACUCCAUCCUGGGAGACAGAGUGAGACCCUGUCUCAA